ACGGAAGGCAGCCGUAAGGAAUCUUGCACAAUGGGGGAAACCCUGAUGCAGCAACGCCGCGUGAUUGAUGAAGGCCUUCGGGUUGUGAAAAUCUGAUCUAAGGGAAGAAACAAAUGACGGUACCUUAGGAGAAAGCCCCGGCUAGCUACGUGCCAGCAGCCGCGGUAAUACGUAGGGGGCAAGCGUGAUCCGGAAUUAUUGGGCGUAAAGAGUGCGUAGGUGGUUACCUAAGCGCAAGGUUUAAUCUUGAGGCUUAACCUCAUUCUGCCUUGCGAACUGGGCUACUUGAGUGCAGGAGGGGAAAGCGGAAUUCCUAGUGUAGCGGUGAAAUGCGUAGAUAUUAGGAGGAACACCGGUGGCGAAGGCGGCUUACUGGACUGUAACUGACGCUGAGGCACGAAAGCGUGGGGAGCAAACAGGAUUAGAUACCCUGGUA
This 436-nucleotide ribosomal RNA is filed under the name uncultured Mogibacterium sp. RNAcentral's name for it is "partial 16S ribosomal RNA". It matches the Rfam family "Bacterial small subunit ribosomal RNA", at positions 341 to 792 of the family's 1533-position model. The record is from RNAcentral. Lineage: Bacteria; Bacillati; Bacillota; Clostridia; Peptostreptococcales; Anaerovoracaceae.